UCUCUGGUAGUAUAUCGGUUAGUACACGCGCCUGUCACGUCUGUACCGCGCGAAAGCUGGGUUCGACUCCCAGCCAGAGAG
This is a non-coding RNA of Desarmillaria ectypa, 81 nucleotides long. NCBI's taxonomy places the organism in Eukaryota, Fungi, Basidiomycota, Agaricomycetes, Agaricales, Physalacriaceae. The record is from the annotation of a GenBank genome assembly.